Molecule: transfer RNA, 67 nt
Filed under: Cyathocotyle prussica
Lineage: Eukaryota; Metazoa; Platyhelminthes; Trematoda; Diplostomida; Cyathocotylidae
Description: tRNA-Lys
Source: RNAcentral
UUGAGAGUAGCUUAAUUAAAAAGUUUGGGAUUCUUACUCCUAGGAUGUCUUUUAUUGACUUCUCAAG